GACGAACGCUGGCGGCGUGCUUAACACAUGCAAGUCGAACGGUAAGGCCCUUUCGGGGGUACACGAGUGGCGAACGGGUGAGUAACACGUGGGUGAUCUGCCCUGCACUUUGGGAUAAGCCUGGGAAACUGGGUCUAAUACCGGAUAGGACUACACGAUGCAUGUCGUGUGGUGGAAAGCUUUUGCGGUGUGGGAUGGGCCCGCGGCCUAUCAGCUUGUUGGUGGGGUGAUGGCCUACCAAGGCGACGACGGGUAGCCGGCCUGAGAGGGUGUCCGGCCACACUGGGACUGAGAUACGGCCCAGACUCCUACGGGAGGCAGCAGUGGGGAAUAUUGCACAAUGGGCGCAAGCCUGAUGCAGCGACGCCGCGUGGGGGAUGACGGCCUUCGGGUUGUAAACCCCUUUCAGCACAGACGAAGCGUAAGUGACGGUAUGUGCAGAAGAAGCACCGGCCAACUACGUG
This 464-nucleotide ribosomal RNA is filed under the name uncultured bacterium. Its description in RNAcentral is "partial 16S ribosomal RNA". It matches the Rfam family "Bacterial small subunit ribosomal RNA", at positions 28 to 507 of the family's 1533-position model. The record is from RNAcentral.